Molecule: ribosomal RNA, 834 nt
Filed under: Mariannaea elegans
Lineage: Eukaryota; Fungi; Ascomycota; Sordariomycetes; Hypocreales; Nectriaceae
Description: partial large subunit ribosomal RNA
Rfam family: Eukaryotic large subunit ribosomal RNA
Source: RNAcentral
CAGGGAUUGCCCUAGUAACGGCGAGUGAAGCGGCAACAGCUCAAAUUUGAAAUCUGGCCCUCGGGUCCGAGUUGUAAUUUGUAGAGGAUGCUUUUGGUGCGGUGCCUUCCGAGUUCCCUGGAACGGGACGCCAUAGAGGGUGAGAGCCCCGUCUGGUUGGACACCAAUCCUCUGUAAAGCUCCUUCGACGAGUCGAGUAGUUUGGGAAUGCUGCUCUAAAUGGGAGGUAUAUGUCUUCUAAAGCUAAAUAUUGGCCAGAGACCGAUAGCGCACAAGUAGAGUGAUCGAAAGAUGAAAAGCACUUUGAAAAGAGAGUUAAACAGUACGUGAAAUUGUUGAAAGGGAAGCGCUUAUGACCAGACUUGGGCUUGGUAGAUCAACCUGGGUUCUCCCUGGUGCACUCUUCCUCGUCCAGGCCAGCAUCAGUUCGCUGCGGGGGAUAAAGGCUUCGGGAAUGUGGCUCCCUCGGGAGUGUUAUAGCCCGUUGCGUAAUACCCUGCGGUGGACUGAGGUUCGCGUUCUGCAAGGAUGCUGGCGUAAUGGUCAUCAGCGACCCGUCUUGAAACACGGACCAAGGAGUCGUCUUCGUAUGCGAGUGUUCGGGUGUUAAACCCCUACGCGUAAUGAAAGUGAACGCAGGUGAGAGCUUCGGCGCAUCAUCGACCGAUCCUGAUGUUCUCGGAUGGAUUUGAGUAAGAGCAUACGGGGCCGGACCCGAAAGAAGGUGAACUAUGCCUGUAUAGGGUGAAGCCAGAGGAAACUCUGGUGGAGGCUCGCAGCGGUUCUGACGUGCAAAUCGAUCGUCAAAUAUGGGCAUGGGGGCGAAAGACUAAU